This 255-nucleotide ribosomal RNA is filed under the name uncultured bacterium. RNAcentral's name for it is "partial 16S ribosomal RNA". It matches the Rfam family "Bacterial small subunit ribosomal RNA", at positions 524 to 776 of the family's 1533-position model. The record is from RNAcentral.
UACGUAGGUGGCAAGCGUUUGUCCGGAUUUAUUGGGCGUAAAGCGCGCGCAGGCGGUCUUUUAAGUCUGAUGUGAAAUCUCGCGGCUCAACCGCGAGCGGUCAUUGGAAACUGGGGGACUUGAGUGCGAGAAGAGAAGAGCGGAAUUCCACGUGUAGCGGUGAAAUGCGUAGAGAUGUGGAGGAACACCAGUGGCGAAGGCGGCUCUUUGGUCUGUAACUGACGCUGAGGCGCGAAAGCGUGGGGAGCAAACAGG